Long non-coding RNA from Xenia sp. Carnegie-2017, 554 nucleotides. RefSeq lists it as uncharacterized. The transcript has 5 exons. The record is from RefSeq and is a predicted model, not a curated record. NCBI's taxonomy places the organism in Eukaryota, Metazoa, Cnidaria, Anthozoa, Malacalcyonacea, Xeniidae.
GCAUAGAAUCGUGUUAAAGAAGUUCAAAAGAACACGAAGGAAUGGUCUGUGAAAAUGAGGAGUGCUAUUCCCGAGGUUUCCUGCGUUCUUUCCAAUGAAGAAAUCGACAGGAUUGUAGAAGAUAGCCAUGAAGAUUAAGAUAGCCAUUUAUUUCUUAAUCUUCAUGGCUAUCUAAAUGAAUAAUAAAUGAAUCCACAAUGAGCGACUUUAUACGGCGACACUUACAAAACCAAACCCACGAUUAGUCAGGGCGAUCGUCUUUCUAAUACUGGUGCAAGGUUGUCAGGCAUAUCGCGUCCGAAAACAUCUUUUGGAGCUAGCAGCAGAAAAUCAAGUCAAUAUGGACGUGAAUCGUACAUGCAGAUAAAAGACUCCAGACCGCUUAGUGAUAAAUCUUAUCAGCAUCAAGAAAUACAAGACAUAUUGCAGUUUCUUUCGGUCAACGAUUACCAGCAUCCAAUCUCCAUGAAGAAAAUGACGAUUCCAACGAGCAAAGAGUUCCUGAAAGUAUUUUCCCCAUAUCAGUCCAACGGACACAUAAAACUAAAAGAAAA